UACGGAGGGUGCAAGCGUUAAUCGGAAUUACUGGGCGUAAAGCGUACGCAGGCGGUUUGUUAAGUCAGAUGUGAAAGCCCCGGGCUCAACCUGGGAACUGCAUCUGAAACUGGGUAGCUUGAGUCUUGUAGAGGGGGGUAGAAUUCCAGGUGUAGCGGUGAAAUGCGUAGAGAUGUGGAGGAAUACCGGUGGCGAAGGCGGCCCCCUGGACAAAGACUGACGCUCAGGUGCGAAAGCGUGGGGAGCAAACAGG
Molecule: ribosomal RNA, 253 nt
Filed under: uncultured bacterium
Lineage: Bacteria
Description: partial 16S ribosomal RNA
Rfam family: Bacterial small subunit ribosomal RNA
Source: RNAcentral